This 576-nucleotide long non-coding RNA is filed under the name Physcomitrium patens. RNAcentral describes it as "long non-coding RNA (PPAT_LNC010911)". The record is from RNAcentral. Lineage: Eukaryota; Viridiplantae; Streptophyta; Bryopsida; Funariales; Funariaceae.
UUCUAGCUACAUAGUUCCUAUUAUAGCUUAAAAAAAUAUAUUUUUUAACACAUUGUCUUCUUUUGCAACCAUGCUCUUUAUUUUAUAAUUUCAUUGAUUUUAUGAACAAUAUUGAGUAGUAUACUUGGAUUUUUUAUAAUAUAGAUAUAAUCCUUCUUGACAACAAUAAGUUUUUUUUUAUUUAUUAAGAAAUUUGAAAUGUACCAUGUUAAUUUGCUUAGGAUCUAGCAUAGACAAAUAAGCUUUCAAAAACUUAGAAGGUGUUAAUACAGCUUGACUUAUACUUCUUCAAUCAUAUCUUUGUUCUUGGCAUCUUUCAAAGGAUCAAUUAUCACAUACAAUGGCUUCAGCAAUAAAUUGCUCCAAUGAAUAUAUUCUUAACAUUGUCAACAAUAAAUCUUUGAUAUUAUCUUUUAAUCCAUAUCAAAAUUCAUUGAUAAAGGCUUUAUCAUUCCAAUCCACUUGAUCUUUGUCAUAAUAAUAUGAAUUUGAUUUUUGUUAUUAUUUUUUUAUUACUUUUUAAAAUUUAGCUAUAAAUAUUUUCAAGAAUGAAUUCAAGUCAUAGGAAAAUCAUAA